AUUGAACGCUGGCGGCAGGCCUAACACAUGCAAGUCGAGCGGUAGAGAGAAGCUUGCUUCUCUUGAGAGCGGCGGACGGGUGAGUAAAGCCUAGGAAUCUGCCUGGUAGUGGGGGAUAACGUUCGGAAACGGACGCUAAUACCGCAUACGUCCUACGGGAGAAAGCAGGGGACCUUCGGGCCUUGCGCUAUCAGAUGAGCCUAGGUCGGAUUAGCUAGUUGGUGAGGUAAUGGCUCACCAAGGCGACGAUCCGUAACUGGUCUGAGAGGAUGAUCAGUCACACUGGAACUGAGACACGGUCCAGACUCCUACGGGAGGCAGCAGUGGGGAAUAUUGGACAAAGGGCGAAAGCCUGAUCCAGCCAUGCCGCGUGUGUGAAGAAGGUCUUCGGAUUGUAAAGCACUUUAAGUUGGGAGGAAGGGCAUUAACCUAAUACGUUAGUGUUUUGACGUUACCGACAGAAUAAGCACCGGCUAACUCUGUG
Molecule: ribosomal RNA, 484 nt
Filed under: uncultured bacterium
Lineage: Bacteria
Description: partial 16S ribosomal RNA
Rfam family: Bacterial small subunit ribosomal RNA
Source: RNAcentral